This 29-nucleotide small RNA is filed under the name Bombyx mori (domestic silkworm). RNAcentral's name for it is "ovarian small RNA-10560". Lineage: Eukaryota; Metazoa; Arthropoda; Insecta; Lepidoptera; Bombycidae. The record is from RNAcentral.
AAGCACAGUCCGCUGCGGUCAACUGCACU